UAGCCAUGCAUGGUCUAAGUAUAAGCAACUAUACGGUGAAACUGCGAAUGGCUCAUUAAAUCAGUUAUCGUUUAUUUGAUAGUACCUUACUACAUGGAUAACCGUGGUAAUUCUAGAGCUAAUACAUGCUAAAAACCCCGACUUCGGGAGGGGUGUAUUUAUUAGAUAAAAAACCAACGCCCUCCGGGGCUCCGUGGUGAAUCAUAAUAACUUAACGAAUCGCAUGGCCUUGCGCCGGCGAUGGUUCAUUCAAAUUUCUGCCCUAUCAACUUUCGAUGGUAGGAUAGUGGCCUACCAUGGUCUCAACGGGUAACGGGGAAUUAGGGUUCGACUCCGGAGAGGGAGCCUGAGAAACGGCUACCACAUCCAAGGAAGGCAGCAGGCGCGCAAAUUACCCAAUCCCGACGCGGGGAGGUAGUGACAAUAAAUACUGAUACAGGGCUCUUUUGGGUCUUGUAAUUGGAAUGAGUACAAUUUAAAUCCCUUAACGAGGAACAAUUGGAGGGCAAGUCUGGUGCCAGCAGCCGCGGUAAUUCCAGCUCCAAUAGCGUAUAUUAAAGUUGUUGCAGUUAAAAAGCUCGUAGUUGAACCUUGGGCCUGGCUGGCCGGUCCGCCUCACCGCGUGCACUGGUCCGGCCGGGCCUUUCCUUCUGGGGAGCCGCAUGGCCUUCACUGGCCGUGUCGGGGAACCAGGACUUUUACUUUGAAAAAAUUAGAGUGUUCAAAGCAGGCCUUUGCUCGGAUACAUUAGCAUGGAAUAAUAGAAUAGGACGCGCGGUUCUAUUUUGUUGGUUUCUAGGACCGCCGUAAUGAUUA
RNAcentral lists this ribosomal RNA (816 nucleotides) under uncultured eukaryote. RNAcentral describes it as "SSU rRNA". It matches the Rfam family "Eukaryotic small subunit ribosomal RNA", at positions 46 to 871 of the family's 1831-position model. The record is from RNAcentral.